UUAGUAAUGUCUGGGAAACUGCCCGAUGGUGGGGGAUAACUACUGGAAACGGUAGCUAAUACCGCAUAACGUCUUCGGACCAAAGUGGGGGACCUUCGGGCCUCACACCAUCGGAUGUGCCCAGAUGGGAUUAGCUAGUAGGUGGGGUAAUGGCUCACCUAGGCGACGAUCCCUAGCUGGUCUGAGAGGAUGACCAGCCACACUGGAACUGAGACACGGUCCAGACUCCUACGGGAGGCAGCAGUGGGGAAUAUUGCACAAUGGGCGCAAGCCUGAUGCAGCCAUGCCGCGUGUAUGAAGAAGGCCUUCGGGUUGUAAAGUACUUUCAGCGGGGAGGAAGGCGAUGAGGUUAAUAACCUUAUCGAUUGACGUUACCCGCAGAAGAAGCACCGGCUAACUCCGUGCCAGCAGCCGCGGUAAUACGGAGGGUGCAAGCGUUAAUCGGAAUUACUGGGCGUAAAGCGCACGCAGGCGGUCUGUCAAGUCGGAUGUGAAAUCCCCGGG
Molecule: ribosomal RNA, 504 nt
Filed under: uncultured bacterium
Lineage: Bacteria
Description: bacterial SSU rRNA
Rfam family: Bacterial small subunit ribosomal RNA
Source: RNAcentral